GUGAGGAAUAUUGGUCAAUGGACGAGAGUCUGAACCAGCCAAGUCGCGUGAAGGAAGACGGUUCUAUGAAUUGUAAACUUCUUUUGUGCAGGAAUAAAGUGGGUUACGUGUAACCUUUUGUAUGUACUGUACGAAUAAGGAUCGGCUAACUCCGUGCCAGCAGCCGCGGUAAUACGGAGGAUCCGAGCGUUAUCCGGAUUUAUUGGGUUUAAAGGGUGCGUAGGUGGAUUGAUAAGUCAGCGGUGAAAGUUUGCAGCUGAACUGUAAAAUUGCAGUUAGAACUGUCGGUCUGGAGUGCAAAUGAGGUAGGCGGAAUGUGUUGUGUAGCGGUGAAAUGCUUAGAUAUAACACAGAACUCCGAUUGCGAAGGCAGCUUACUGGGAUGCAACUGACACUGAUGCACGAAAGCGUGGGUAUCAAACAGGAUUAGAAACCCGAGUAGUCC
RNAcentral lists this ribosomal RNA (445 nucleotides) under uncultured bacterium. Its description in RNAcentral is "partial 16S ribosomal RNA". It matches the Rfam family "Bacterial small subunit ribosomal RNA", at positions 354 to 796 of the family's 1533-position model. The record is from RNAcentral.